Molecule: long non-coding RNA, 1545 nt
Organism: Rhopalosiphum padi (bird cherry-oat aphid)
Lineage: Eukaryota; Metazoa; Arthropoda; Insecta; Hemiptera; Aphididae
Exons: 6
Source: RefSeq, a predicted model, not a curated record
CUUAUUAGUCUAAUGUAAGAUUAUUCAUAAUUGUAUAUUCAAUCUUAGUAAAAUACACAUAUAAUAUUAUCCUGUCCAAACUUCCAAAUGUUUGGUAAUAAUCAUACAUUAAAAUGUAAUACUUAUAACUGUGAUUAUAUUAAUGUUAAAUUUAUAAAAUUAUAAAUUUUUAAACAGAUGAUAUUAAAAAAAUAUAUAAUGGAACAAAUGAAAAAUUUCCUCAAAAGGAUGGAUACAUAAAUUUCAUAAAAUAUACUUCAGAUGAAUAUUCAAAAUUAGACAGGAGUAAAUGGAACGACGUAAUAAUUAAGUACGAAGAAAGUCUUCAGAAAAUAGUUAACCUUUAUAUGACCGAAACUAUAGAUGAUUGUACACUUAAUGAUUGGUGCAAUAAACAUAUUGAAGUUUUAGUUAAAACUAAAGCACCUGCAGAAAACAUUGAGAUUAUUCAACCUUAACCAGCCUAAGACAAUAAGAAACAUGUUAAAUGUUUAUAAUGAAAUAAAAAAAAUUAUUUAGUUAAUUAUCUUAUAUGUUGACAUUUUUAAUUUAAAAAAAAAAAAAUAAUAUUUAAAAUCUGUGGAAUCCGCAUCUUUUGUAUUCUUAGUAUACUUAAAGACUUAAAAUGCUUUUCACUUAUAUAAUAUUAUUUAUUUAGUAUAAUAUUCACUUAUCUUAUGUAUCUAAAUCCGUUUUAUCGUAUAUUGCUUAUCGAACCUGUGAACUUUAUCCGCAUUUAGAUGGACGUCUAUAUCUGAUAUUCUUAUUCAUAAUACAAAAGGUAUUACUACAAUCACUGGCCAUCAAAAAUAUCAUUUACACUGAAUUUUACUUGCAUUGAAUUUAGUUCAAUGAGUGAGUUUACACUAUACUGCCUAGUUUACCUUUUGUUUAAUUUUUUUAUAUCGUGUACGGAUCGGGAAAAAACAAUGAUUGAUCACGAGCCUGAUCACCAAAAUUACUUUACACAUUCCAAUACCAACCGAUAAACCUUUGCUAUGUAAAUAUAUAACAAUUCGAAAUAAGUAGAUAGGAUUACUAGCAAAACAAUGACUGCUAGUAUGUGGUGAAUACGUAGAUGUGUAAAAUUAAAGCUAUAAGAUCAUAGGUUACAGUUACACUAAUUUUGGUAGAUAUAAAGGUUGGUCUAUAAUAAAACGAUUUUGAAUAAUACACGAUAUAGAAAAAUCACAACAAUACAAGUAUACAAAAAUAUUAAUAAUACACUUUUUUGGCACAACAAUUUAAAAAUUAAUUUGUAUUUACGACUUUGCUAAUUUGAACAACUAAAGAGAAAACAUAUGUAUUCAGAUUUAAAUACCUAAGAUUUAUAAAUUAUACUACAUAUGUAAUUCCACUAUGUAUUGAUUCUAUUGUUUAAUGUUUAUAUUUUUAUUUUUUGAAUAAUUGUAAAGUCACUUUAAUAUUUCUUUCUUUUUGUGUUAUAUUAUUUAUAUUUAUAUUUAAUAUUGUAAUAGCAUGAACUCUCACCUCUAAUACAGCCUAUGGUUUUGGAGGUGAUCCAAUAACAUUUGUUAUUUAAUA